GACGAACGCUGGCGGCGUGCCUAAUACAUGCAAGUUGAGCGCUGAAGGUUGGUACUUGUACCAACUGGAUGAGCAGCGAACGGGUGAGUAACGCGUGGGGAAUCUGCCUUUGAGCGGGGGACAACAUUUGGAAACGAAUGCUAAUACCGCAUAAAAACUUUAAACACAAGUUUUAAGUUUGAAAGAUGCAAUUGCAUCACUCAAAGAUGAUCCCGCGUUGUAUUAGCUAGUUGGUGAGGUAAAGGCUCACCAAGGCGAUGAUACAUAGCCGACCUGAGAGGGUGAUCGGCAACAUUGGGACUGAGACACGACCCAAACUCCUACGGGAGGCAGCAGUAGGGAAUCUUCGGCAAUGGACGAAAGUCUGACCGAGCAACGCCGCGUGAGUGAAGAAGGUUUUCGGAUCGUAAAACUCUGUUGGUAGAGAAGAACGUUGGUGAGAGUGGAAAGCUCAGCAAGUGACGGUAACUACCCAGAAAGGGACGGCUAACUACGUG
RNAcentral lists this ribosomal RNA (497 nucleotides) under uncultured bacterium. RNAcentral describes it as "partial 16S ribosomal RNA". It matches the Rfam family "Bacterial small subunit ribosomal RNA", at positions 28 to 507 of the family's 1533-position model. The record is from RNAcentral.